AUAUCCCAUACAAACAGUAAACGCAGUGGUUUAGUAUACCAAUUCACAACACAAAGAGUUCAAAGACAGACAUUUUGAUCAACGUGAUCUCAGAUCACUCAUCAUGUGACCUCACCAGCAGGACGUAUCCAGAGAGGAUCUUGAGUUAAUGUUACAUGUAACGUUAACAUGACGCGAACAAUCACGGAUACAUAAAGACCCACUUUCUUCAAGCCAGAUGGAUGAGGGUACUGCAUGUACGGGGCUGGGCUCUGAGGUGUGUAGGGGCUGGACACAUGGCUGUUCUGGGGAAACCUGCUGCCCGGACCCGUCUGCUGGGGGACAAACCCACUACAAACGCAACCAGAAGCAUGAUACUCGGAGGAGAACUGGAGAUACUUACAUGUGUUCAGUGGACACCUGGCUGAGACUCUGAGACAGCUGAGCCACCAGAUUCUCAUCCUGGCAAGCCAGAAGACAGCUGACCUUCUCAGCAAUGCUGCCAUUGUACAGUAAGCUCUUAGUGGUGGUAGCAGGGUGUGGGGAGGGAAGGGGCAGUUGGUUCAACACUGCAAGAAACAAAAGGAGAUAUAUGAAACAAUCACUAAUACACCUGCUAUUACAAUACCAGAACACCUCACUAGAAUGUCUUAGCGCAUACUUACAGUCUGU
Alosa sapidissima (American shad) is the source of this 651-nucleotide long non-coding RNA. RefSeq lists it as uncharacterized. Lineage: Eukaryota; Metazoa; Chordata; Actinopteri; Clupeiformes; Clupeidae. The record is from RefSeq and is a predicted model, not a curated record. The transcript is spliced from 3 exons.